This 468-nucleotide ribosomal RNA is filed under the name uncultured bacterium. Its description in RNAcentral is "partial 16S ribosomal RNA". It matches the Rfam family "Bacterial small subunit ribosomal RNA", at positions 28 to 507 of the family's 1533-position model. The record is from RNAcentral.
GACGAACGCUGGCGGCGUGCUUAACACAUGCAAGUCGAACGGAAAGGCCCUGCUCUUGUGGGGUGCUCGAGUGGCGAACGGGUGAGUAACACGUGAGUAACCUGUCCCUGACACUCGGAUAACUUCAGGAAACUGGGGCUAAUACCGGAUAGGAGCCCCUGCUGCACGUUGUGGGUUGGAAAGUUUCGGCGGUUGGGGAUGGACUCGCGGCUUAUCAGCUUGUUGUUGGGGUAGUGGCUCACCAAGGCUUUGACGGGUAGCCGGCCUGAGAGGGUGACCGGCCACAUUGGGACUGAGAUACGGCCCAGACUCCUACGGGAGGCAGCAGUGGGGAAUAUUGCACAAUGGGCGGAAGCCUGAUGCAGCAACGCCGCGUGCGGGAUGACGGCCUUCGGGUGGUAAACCGCUUUCAGCUGAGACGAAGCGUGAGUGACGGUAAUGGGUAAAAAAGCACCGGCUAACUACGUG